RNAcentral lists this ribosomal RNA (221 nucleotides) under uncultured bacterium. RNAcentral describes it as "partial 16S ribosomal RNA". It matches the Rfam family "Bacterial small subunit ribosomal RNA", at positions 15 to 228 of the family's 1533-position model. The record is from RNAcentral.
GAUCAUGGCUCAGGACGAACGCUGGCGGCGUGCCUAAUACAUGCAAGUAGAACGCUGAAGGAGGAGCUUGCUUCUCUGGAUGAGUUGCGAACGGGUGAGUAACGCGUAGGUAACCUGCCUGGUAGUGGGGGAUAACUAUUGGAAACGAUAGCUAAUACCGCAUAAUAGCAGUUGUUGCAUGACAACUGUUUGAAAGGUGCAAUUGCACCACUACCAGAUGG